CCUACGGGCGGCAGCAGUGAGGAAUAUUGGUCAAUGGCCGCAAGGCUGAACCAGCCAAGCCGCGUGAGGGAGGAAGGCGCAAAGCGUCGCAAACCUCUUUUGCCGGGGGACAAAAGGCCGGACUCGUCCGGUCCUGAGGGUACCCGGAGAAAAAGCAUCGGCUAACUCCGUGCCAGCAGCCGCGGUAAUACGGAGGGUGCGAGCGUUAUCCGGAUUCAUUGGGUUUAAAGGGUGCGCAGGCGGGCGUUUAAGCGGCCGGUGAAAUCGCGGGGCUCAACCCCGCAGAGCGGCGGGAACUGGGGGGCUUGAGUGCGGGGGAGGCAUGCGGAAUGCGCGGUGUAGCGGUGAAAUGCAUAGAUAUCGCGAAGAACCCCGAUUGCGAAGGCAGCGUGCGGUGGCGCUACUGACGCUGAGGCACGAAAGCGCGGGGAUCGAACAGGAUUAGAUACCCGAGUAGUC
RNAcentral lists this ribosomal RNA (459 nucleotides) under uncultured bacterium. Its description in RNAcentral is "partial 16S ribosomal RNA". It matches the Rfam family "Bacterial small subunit ribosomal RNA", at positions 338 to 795 of the family's 1533-position model. The record is from RNAcentral.